This 234-nucleotide ribosomal RNA is filed under the name uncultured bacterium. RNAcentral describes it as "partial 16S ribosomal RNA". It matches the Rfam family "Bacterial small subunit ribosomal RNA", at positions 97 to 334 of the family's 1533-position model. The record is from RNAcentral.
GGCGGACGGGUGAGUAAUACUUAGGAAUCUGCCCAUUAGUGGGGGACAACUAGAAGAAAUUCUAGCUAAUACCGCAUACGCCCUACGGGGGAAAGCGGGGGAUCUUCGGACCUCGCGCUAAUGGAUGAGCCUAAGCCGGAUUAGCUUGUUGGUGAGGUAAUGGCUCACCAAGGCGACGAUCCGUAGCUGGUCUGAGAGGACGAUCAGCCACACUGGGACUGAGACACGGCCCAG